This 229-nucleotide long non-coding RNA is filed under the name Lathyrus oleraceus (garden pea). RNAcentral's name for it is "Pisum sativum (pea) long non-coding RNA (PSAT_LNC006288)". The record is from RNAcentral. Lineage: Eukaryota; Viridiplantae; Streptophyta; Magnoliopsida; Fabales; Fabaceae.
UUCUACAUCAGAUGGAGUGGUGGCCACGGUAGAUGAACCGAUCACAGCGAUAACACUUUGAUGGUAACUGAUCCAAUCAACAUCAAUAUCCGUCGCCAUCAUACAAUCCAGAGGUAGGGAUGGAACAUACUGCCUAUACCCGAACUGACGUAAACAUCUAUCAGGCAAGUCUGGAACAACUGUUUCACCCCACUUCAAAUAGCCCCUGUAAAGACAUAUCUCAUCAAAU